UCGGGAAUUUUGCACAAUGGCCGAAAGGCUGAUGCAGCAACGCCGCGUGAGCGAAGAAGGCCUUCGGGUUGUAAAGCUCUGUUGCCUGCGAAGAAGGGCCCUGUCAGGAAAUGGGCGGGGUUUGACGGUAGCAGGCGAGGAAGCCCCGGCAAACUACGUGCCAGCAGCCGCGGUAAUACGUAGGGGGCGAGCGUUGUCCGGAAUUACUGGGCGUAAAGGGCGUGUAGGCGGCCUGUUAAGUCAGGGGUGAAAGACCGGGGCUCAACCCCGGGGGUGCCUCUGAAACUGGCGGGCUUGAGUGCUCUAGAGGGCAGUGGAAUUCCCGGUGUAGCAGUGAACUGCGUAGAGAUCGGGAGGAACACCAGUGGCGAAGGCGGCUGCCUGGGGAGUCACUGACGCUGAGGCGCGAAAGCUAGGGGAGCAAACAGG
Molecule: ribosomal RNA, 429 nt
Filed under: bacterium
Lineage: Bacteria
Description: partial 16S ribosomal RNA
Rfam family: Bacterial small subunit ribosomal RNA
Source: RNAcentral